GAUGAACGCUGACAGAAUGCUUAACACAUGCAAGUCAACUUGAACUUCGGUUUGGGUGGCGGACGGGUGAGUAACGCGUAAAGAACUUGCCUCACAGAUAGGGACAACAUUUGGAAACGAAUGCUAAUACCUGAUAUUAUGAUUAUAUGGCAUCGUAUAAUUAUGAAAGCUAUAUGCGCUGUGAGAGAGCUUUGCGUCCCAUUAGCUAGUUGGAGAGGUAACGGCUCACCAAGGCGAUGAUGGGUAGCCGGCCUGAGAGGGUGAUCGGCCACAAGGGGACUGAGAAACGGCCCUAACUCCUACGGGAGGCAGCAGGGGGAAAUAUUGGACAAUGGACCAAGAGUCUGAUCCAGCAAUUCUGUGUGAACGAUGGAGUUUUUCGGGAUGUAAAGUGCUUUCAGUUGGGAAGAAAAAAAUGACGGUACCAACAGAAGAAGUGACGGCUAAAUACGUG
Molecule: ribosomal RNA, 454 nt
Filed under: uncultured bacterium
Lineage: Bacteria
Description: partial 16S ribosomal RNA
Rfam family: Bacterial small subunit ribosomal RNA
Source: RNAcentral